This 368-nucleotide unclassified non-coding RNA is filed under the name soil metagenome. RNAcentral describes it as "partial contains 5.8S ribosomal RNA, internal transcribed spacer 2, and large subunit ribosomal RNA". The stretch from base 1 to 120 matches the Rfam family "5.8S ribosomal RNA", at positions 35 to 154 of the family's 154-position model. The record is from RNAcentral.
GAUGAAGAACGCAGCGAAAUGCGAUAAGUAAUGUGAAUUGCAGAAUUCAGUGAACCAUCGAAUCUUUGAACGCACAUUGCGCCCGGCAGUAAUCUGCCGGGCAUGCCUGUCCGAGCGUCAUUUCUGCCCUCGAGCGAGUCCAGCAUCUAGGUGCUGGGCCCGCCCGGCGUUGGGGCACUACGGGAAGCCCUGUGCUGUCCCCCGUAGGCCCCGAAAUGAAGUGGCGGUCCUGCCGCGGCGCCCCCUGCGUAGUAUAACAGCUCGCUUCGGGACCCGGUGGAGGCCUGCCGUCAAACCUUACUCUCUAAGUUUGACCUCGGAUCAGGUAGGGUUACCCGCUGAACUUAAGCAUAUCAAUAAGCGGAGGA